Molecule: long non-coding RNA, 343 nt
Filed under: Rattus norvegicus (Norway rat)
Lineage: Eukaryota; Metazoa; Chordata; Mammalia; Rodentia; Muridae
Description: long non-coding RNA NONRATT033815
Source: RNAcentral
CAGCUCAAGGCACAAGCAGAAGGCACAUGAAAGGAGGAGCUUCUUGUGGCUGCGAAGGAGGAGCUUAUUGUGGUCGCGAAGGAGGUGUUUCUUGCUGUUGUGAGUGGGGCACAGUCUUCCAGCAUCUCAGGUGGUUUCUACUAGCAAGGGGAGGAAGUCAAGACUUCCCACCUUUGGUUGGAAUGAAGGAAGAAAGAAGGAAAAAUUCCAUUCCUCAGAGGAUGCAGAUGCUCUCUGAAGGAAAGAUCCUGGAGAAUGAAGACAAUAUUAUGAGAAAACUCCAAAGAACCAGCGAAUAAGCUCUUAACCUAGAGAUGUUUACAUCCUAGUAACUAAAUAUUUG